AGGCUCAGAUUGAACGCUGGCGGCAGGCCUAACACAUGCAAGUCGAGCGGAUGAGAAGAGCUUGCUCUUCGAUUCAGCGGCGGACGGGUGAGUAAUGCCUAGGAAUCUGCCUGGUAGUGGGGGACAACGUUUCGAAAGGAACGCUAAUACCGCAUACGUCCUACGGGAGAAAGCAGGGGACCUUCGGGCCUUGCGCUAUCAGAUGAGCCUAGGUCGGAUUAGCUAGUUGGUGAGGUAAUGGCUCACCAAGGCGACGAUCCGUAACUGGUCUGAGAGGAUGAUCAGUCACACUGGAACUGAGACACGGUCCAGACUCCUACGGGAGGCAGCAGUGGGGAAUAUUGGACAAUGGGCGAAAGCCUGAUCCAGCCAUGCCGCGUGUGUGAAGAAGGUCUUCGGAUUGUAAAGCACUUUAAGUUGGGAGGAAGGGCAGUAAGUUAAUACCUUGCUGUUUUGACGUUACCGACAGAAUAAGCACCGGCUAACUCUGUGCCAGCAGCCGCGGUAAUACAGAGGGUGCAAGCGUUAAUCGGAAUUACUGGGCGUAAAGCGCGCGUAGGUGGUUUGUUAAGUUGAAUGUGAAAGCCCCGGGCUCAACCUGGGAACUGCAUCCAAAACUGGCAAGCUAGAGUAUGGUAGAGGGUGGUGGAAUUUCCUGUGUAGCGGUGAAAUGCGUAGAUAUAGGAAGGAACACCAGUGGCGAAGGCGACCACCUGGACUAAUACUGACACUGAUGUGCGAAAGCGUGGGGAGCAAACAGGAUUACAUACCCUGGUAGUCCACGCCGUAAACGAUGUCAACUUGCCGUUGGAAUCCUUGAGAUUUUAGUGGCGCAGCUAACGCAUUAAGUUGACCGCCUGGGGAGUACGGCCGCAAGGUUAAAACUCAAAUGAAUUGACGGGCCCCCGCACAAGCGGUGGAGCUUGUGUUUUAAUUCGAAGCAACGAGAACAACCUUACCAGGCCUUGACAUGCAGAGAACUUUCCAAAGAUGGAUUGGUGCCUUCCGGAACUCUGACACAGGUGCUGCUUGGUUGUCGUCAUCUCGUGUCAUGAAAUGUUGGGUUAAGUCCCGUAAC
This 1078-nucleotide ribosomal RNA is filed under the name uncultured Pseudomonas sp. RNAcentral describes it as "bacterial SSU rRNA". It matches the Rfam family "Bacterial small subunit ribosomal RNA", at positions 20 to 1093 of the family's 1533-position model. Lineage: Bacteria; Pseudomonadati; Pseudomonadota; Gammaproteobacteria; Pseudomonadales; Pseudomonadaceae. The record is from RNAcentral.